CGCGUAGGUGGUUUAGUAAGUCAAGGUUGAAAUCCGGCGGCUCACCCGUCGAACUGGCCUCGAUACUGCUGAACUAGAGUCAUGGAGGGGUGCGUGGAACUCGUGGUGGAGCGGUGAAAUGCUCAGAUAUCACAGGGAACACCGGAGGCGAAGGCGACGCACUGGACAUGUACUGACACUGAGGCGCGAAAGCGUGGGUAGCGAACAGGAUUAGAUACCCUGGUAGUCC
This 229-nucleotide ribosomal RNA is filed under the name uncultured bacterium. RNAcentral's name for it is "partial 16S ribosomal RNA". It matches the Rfam family "Bacterial small subunit ribosomal RNA", at positions 568 to 796 of the family's 1533-position model. The record is from RNAcentral.